GAUUCCCACUCCGAUUGAGUUCUUAAAUCAAUUCUUUCAGAUGCCCAUUUCUUUUCUUGUACUUGUUAAUUUUAUCAUAAUCGAUACGAAUUUUCUGAGAAAAGAAAUUAAAUGAUGUUUCUUCAUUGAUUAUGUAAAGGAUGGGAUUUUAUUGGAUUUGGAUUUCAGAACUGGGUUUCUUUAAAAGUCGGUAUCUUUUUGUUUCGUGGCUUGCGUAUGCACCAAUCGAAAUUGCCAAGUGUUUGCCUCCGCGCCGUAUCUGCCUACUCCUGGUGGUCCCUGGAUACCAAUAACCAGUAUCGAGAGUUAUAUAUAUAUAU
Molecule: unclassified non-coding RNA, 320 nt
Filed under: Hevea brasiliensis (rubber tree)
Lineage: Eukaryota; Viridiplantae; Streptophyta; Magnoliopsida; Malpighiales; Euphorbiaceae
Source: RNAcentral